This 941-nucleotide ribosomal RNA is filed under the name Staphylococcus capitis subsp. urealyticus. RNAcentral's name for it is "bacterial LSU rRNA". It matches the Rfam family "Bacterial large subunit ribosomal RNA", at positions 721 to 1663 of the family's 2925-position model. The record is from RNAcentral. Lineage: Bacteria; Bacillati; Bacillota; Bacilli; Caryophanales; Staphylococcaceae.
CCAGGUGAUCUACCCUUGGUCAGGUUGAAGUUCAGGUAACACUGAAUGGAGGACCGAACCGACUUACGUUGAAAAGUGAGCGGAUGAACUGAGGGUAGCGGAGAAAUUCCAAUCGAACUUGGAGAUAGCUGGUUCUCUCCGAAAUAGCUUUAGGGCUAGCCUCAAGUGAUGAUUAUUGGAGGUAGAGCACUGUUUGGACGAGGGGCCCCUCUCGGGUUACCGAAUUCAGACAAACUCCGAAUGCCAAUCAAUUUAACUUGGGAGUCAGAACAUGGGUGAUAAGGUCCGUGUUCGAAAGGGAAACAGCCCAGACCACCAGCUAAGGUCCCAAAAUAUAUGUUAAGUGGAAAAGGAUGUGGCGUUGCCCAGACAACUAGGAUGUUGGCUUAGAAGCAGCCAUCAUUUAAAGAGUGCGUAAUAGCUCACUAGUCGAGUGACACUGCGCCGAAAAUGUACCGGGGCUAAACAUAUUACCGAAGCUGUGGAUUGUCCUUCGGACAAUGGUAGGAGAGCGUUCUAAGGGCGUUGAAGCAUGAUCGCAAGGACAUGUGGAGCGCUUAGAAGUGAGAAUGCCGGUGUGAGUAGCGAAAGACGGGUGAGAAUCCCGUCCACCGAUUGACUAAGGUUUCCAGAGGAAGGCUCGUCCGCUCUGGGUUAGUCGGGUCCUAAGCUGAGGCCGACAGGCGUAGGCGAUGGAUAACAGGUUGAUAUUCCUGUACCACCUAGUAUCGUUUUAAUCGAUGGGGGGACGCAGUAGGAUAGGCGAAGCGUGCUGUUGGAGUGCACGUCCAAGCAGUAAGGCUGAGUGUUAGGCAAAUCCGGCACUCGUUAGGCUGAGCUGUGAUGGGGAGAGGAAAUUGUUUCCUCGAGUCGUUGAUUUCACACUGCCGAGAAAAGCCUCUAGAUAGAUAACAGGUGCCCGUACCGCAAACCGACACAGG